RNAcentral lists this ribosomal RNA (205 nucleotides) under uncultured bacterium. Its description in RNAcentral is "partial 16S ribosomal RNA". It matches the Rfam family "Bacterial small subunit ribosomal RNA", at positions 1290 to 1500 of the family's 1533-position model. The record is from RNAcentral.
AGUUCGGAUUGGAGUCUGCAACUCGACUCCAUGAAGCUGGAUUCGCUAGUAAUCGCGCAUCAGCCAUGGCGCGGUGAAUACGUUCCCGGGCCUUGUACACACCGCCCGUCAAGCCAUGGGAGUCGGGAGUGCCUGAAGUUCGUGACCGUCACAGGAGCGACCUAAGGCAAGACCGAUGACUGGGGCUAAGUCGUAACAAGGUACC